Molecule: ribosomal RNA, 399 nt
Filed under: uncultured bacterium
Lineage: Bacteria
Description: bacterial SSU rRNA
Rfam family: Bacterial small subunit ribosomal RNA
Source: RNAcentral
UAAGGAAUAUUGCUCAAUGGGAGAAAUCCUGAAGCAGCAACGCCGCGUGGAGGAUGAAGGGUCUAUGACUUGUAAACUCCUGUAAAGAAGGAAAAAAUUCCCAUUUGAUGGGAGAUGAUGGUACUUCUGGAGUAAGCCCCGGCUAACUACGUGCCAGCAGCCGCGGUAAUACGUAGGGGGCAAGCGUUGUCCGGAUUUACUGGGUGUAAAGGGUGCUCAGGCGGAUUUGUAAGUCAGUGGUGAAAGCCUGUCGCUUAACGAUAGAACUUCCAUUGAUACUGUAAGUCUUGAGUAUAUAUGAGGUGGCUUGAAUAAGUAGUGUAGCGGUGAAAUGCAUAGAUAUUACUUAGAACACCAAUUGCGAAGGCAGGUUACCAAGAUAUAACUGACGCUGAGGGA